CCUACGGGAGGCUGCAGUGGGGAAUAUUGCGCAAUGGGGGAAACCCUGACGCAGCAACGCCGCGUGAGUGAGGAAGUAUCUCGGUAUGUAAAGCUCUAUCAGCGGGGAAGAAGGAAGACGGUACCCGACUAAGAAGCCCCGGCUAACUACGUGCCAGCAGCCGCGGUAAUACGUAGGGGGCGAGCGUUAUCCGGAUUUAUUGGGUUUAAAGGGUGCGCAGGCGGCCUGGUAAGUCAGCGGUAAAAGCCCGGGGCUCAACCCCGGCGAGCCGUUGAAACUGGCGGGCUGGAGUUGGAGAGAAGUACGCGGAAUGCGCGGUGUAGCGGUGAAAUGCUUAGAUAUCGCGCAGAACCCCGAUUGCGAAGGCAGCGUACCGGCUCCACACUGACGCUGAGGCACGAAAGCGUGGGUAUCGAACAGGAUUAGAUACCCUAGUAGUC
RNAcentral lists this ribosomal RNA (440 nucleotides) under uncultured bacterium. Its description in RNAcentral is "partial 16S ribosomal RNA". It matches the Rfam family "Bacterial small subunit ribosomal RNA", at positions 338 to 795 of the family's 1533-position model. The record is from RNAcentral.